GGACCUCGGAUAAAACAAACAACCCUCCUAGCUAGCCCAAUUAACAUAGGGCAGGCUCAGGGGGAGGAGAAAAAAAAAAAAAAAACAUAAAAAGAGGAGCCAAAAUUGAGCUGGGUGCUUCUCUUCUCUUCGCAUCUUUUGGGUCAGCCCGCCCUCACGCCUUGAGGAUGUAUUUUCCUUUGCUUGCCAAUAAAACUGAGCUAUAACACCGAUUUGUCCAUUCCUUCAAAUUUUUGCUGCAGCAAGACAGAACUGAGGAAAUUACAUACUCCCCCGACAUAUAUGGUGCAGUGAUUCAGAUUUAACCUGGCUGAAACUACCUCGGCUCUGCCCCCACAAGGCAGAGGCCAAGCACAGCAGAAGCCCAACGCCGUGAAAGCUCCCGAAGUGGAAGCUGAACACGAAGAAAACCCAGCGGAGUGGAAGUGACAAGAAGCCUACCGUGCUGGAAACCGGGACAGCAAAAACAAACUUGGCAGAAAGCUCACGCAGCUCAGUCUCAGACUCCAGAAGACUUCGGUUAAGGUAGAAAGUCCUCGCUCCUAUGGCUGGAAGGAUAUAUGGCUAACAAAAUCUUAAUUCCUUUACAAUCUCUUGUUUCUUGUUUCCUCAAACCACCUGCGAACAGGUGAGCAGCAGUGGAUGCCCCAGGGUAUCCCGAAGGUGCCCUGGUAGCUGUUGCCCAAGCAGAUGGGGGUUCUUCAGUCCUUAAUCUUUGUGCCAAGGAUCAGGCCAAUGAAAACUGUGAGCAUAGGUCAGGUAUUUAGCAGAUCUUCUGGCAGGGCACAUUUUUCCCACUGCUUUUUCCUCUCAUCCUUCAGCUCCUCUCUCCUGGGACUUGAGCCCAGCCAAAACCCAUGGUGACUGGCUUCAGGACCUAGUGAAGUUCAGGCUCUGAUGUCACCUAAUGAAGCUCAGGCUCUGAUGUCUCAUUACAAAAAUCCAGUGAGAGAGACACAGUAAUAGGAGUGAAGCAGCCUGCUCCAGCCAGCGCACCUGUCACAGAUAACCAACAUGGGGCUAGAGCCAAGGGUGCAACUGGAUGUGGCAGGUCAACAGGCUACAAUAUGCACUGCCAGUUUAACAAGGAUAUAUAAAACUACAGCCGACCAUGGAAAAUAUCACUCACCCUUAGAUGGACACUGCUAUAAGGACUCUGAGGCUUGAGACUAGCAAGAGGGCGAGGCUCAAUGCCCCUUGCUAUCCCAGUUCUGCAGGAAGUAGCCAGAGAGACCUCGAAGCCCCUAUUCCCAAAGAAUUGGGCUUCCCAUCUCUUGAGGGGGGAAUGUUAGGAAGUUAGAACAGAAAAAAGGAGUCCAAAAUGGCAGUGGCUAAAAGACAAAGAAGGAAAAAGCAUGAAAAUAGGAACAAAGGAAGGUCCCAGGACCACAGUAAGGACCUCAGGUAAAACAAACAGCCCUCCUGGCUAGCCCAAUUUAUGUUGGGCAGGUUCAGGGGGUGGAGAAAAAACAUAUAAAAAGAGAUGCCAAAAUUGAGCCGGGGCUUCUUUCUUCGUGUCUUUUGGGUUGGCCCACUCUCACGCCUAUUUUCCUUUGCUUACCAAUAAAACUGAUCUAUAACACUGA
This is a long non-coding RNA of Bos taurus (domestic cattle), 1586 nucleotides long. The record is from Ensembl. NCBI's taxonomy places the organism in Eukaryota, Metazoa, Chordata, Mammalia, Artiodactyla, Bovidae.